RNAcentral lists this ribosomal RNA (754 nucleotides) under uncultured Actinomyces sp. Its description in RNAcentral is "bacterial SSU rRNA". It matches the Rfam family "Bacterial small subunit ribosomal RNA", at positions 28 to 777 of the family's 1533-position model. The record is from RNAcentral. Lineage: Bacteria; Bacillati; Actinomycetota; Actinomycetes; Actinomycetales; Actinomycetaceae.
GACGAACGCUGGCGGCGUGCUUAACACAUGCAAGUCGAACGCUGAAGCCUAGCUUGCUGGGUGGAUGAGUGGCGAACGGGUGAGUAACACGUGAGUAACCUGCCCUCUUCUUUGGGAUAACGCCCGGAAACGGGUGCUAAUACUGGAUAUUCACUGGCCUUCGCAUGGGGGUUGGUGGAAAGGUUUUUUCUGGUGGGGGAUGGGCUCGCGGCCUAUCAGCUUGUUGGUGGGGUGAUGGCCUACCAAGGCUUUGACGGGUAGCCGGCCUGAGAGGGUGACCGGUCACAUUGGGACUGAGAUACGGCCCAGACUCCUACGGGAGGCAGCAGUGGGGAAUAUUGCACAAUGGGCGAAAGCCUGAUGCAGCGACGCCGCGUGAGGGAUGGAGGCCUUCGGGUUGUAAACCUCUUUCGCUCAUGGUCAAGCCGCAACGUUUGGUUGUGGUGAGGGUAGUGGGUAAAGAAGCGCCGGCUAACUACGUGCCAGCAGCCGCGGUAAUACGUAGGGCGCGAGCGUUGUCCGGAAUUAUUGGGCGUAAAGGGCUUGUAGGCGGUUGGUCGCGUCUGCCGUGAAAUCCUCUGGCUUAACUGGGGGCGUGCGGUGGGUACGGGCUGACUUGAGUGCGGUAGGGGAGACUGGAACUCCUGGUGUAGCGGUGGAAUGCGCAGAUAUCAGGAAGAACACCGGUGGCGAAGGCGGGUCUCUGGGCCGUUACUGACGCUGAGGAAGCGAAAGCGUGGGGGAGCGAACAGGG